CCUACAUGUGCCCACUCGCCUGCCUGCCUGCCUUUUGUUUUCAGGUCGGGGAUAUUUAACAUUGUAUUGUUUGUCGGGUCCCCUUGUUCGCAAAUCAUGUUUAGGCUUGGUUGGAAGAGUGUGCUUGUCCCAUUCUAGAUAUGGUAAAACUGAGGCUUGCGCAUUAGUCUGUGGAUAGGUAUUGGUGCCUCUUUUAGAUGUGAUAUUGGAAACAGUGGCGUACAUACGGGGGUCGAAGGGGUCGCGGCAGAGACCGGGCCUGGCCCACCAGGGGGCCCGGCCGCCCUGCGACCUGGUAUGCCCGCCAGUGUGGCCAGCCUCUUCUCCUGGGGGGCCCAGGAGCUGGUCACCUCAGGGCACUCCCCCCGAGGCUGGC
Non-coding RNA from Pelobates cultripes (western spadefoot toad), 376 nucleotides. The record is from the annotation of a GenBank genome assembly. Lineage: Eukaryota; Metazoa; Chordata; Amphibia; Anura; Pelobatidae.